UGUGAAUUAGUUUGAUCCAGAAGCCCUUCCAUUACUCUCUCAUACAGAAAUUGAAGAAAGACUGGAAGAUGUACGUCUAGAGUGUGGAAGGUUUGGCACUGUUAAAUCUGUUAAUGUUGUCAAGUGCGAUGUAACUCCCAUGUCCACCUUAAUAGCAUGUGGAGUCGAUGAGGAUAUGGAAUCUGCUAGGUCUCAGCAAGACUUGGGAUGUAGUGAAACAAAUGCCAAAGCAGAGACGAUGGAAGAGACUGUGGACUGUAAAAUUGUGGAAGGCAAUGGCGGGGAG
Molecule: unclassified non-coding RNA, 286 nt
Filed under: Hevea brasiliensis (rubber tree)
Lineage: Eukaryota; Viridiplantae; Streptophyta; Magnoliopsida; Malpighiales; Euphorbiaceae
Source: RNAcentral